GGCAAGGCUGAGGCCCCGCCCCCGUCAUGGCGCCCGAGGAGAACGCGGGGAGCGAACUCUUGCUGCAGAGUUUCAAGCGCCGCUUCCUGGCAGCGCGCGCCCUGCGCUCCUUCCGCUGGCAGAGCUUAGAAGCAAAGUUAAGAGACUCAUCAGAUUCUGAGCUGCUGCGGGAUAUUUUGCAGAAGUAGACUGUGAAGCAUCCUGUGUGUGUGAAGCACCCGCCGUCAGUCAAGUAUGCCCGGUGCUUUCUCUCAGAACUCAUCAAAAAGCACGAGGCUGUCCACACAGAGCCUUUGGAUGAGCUGUACGAGGUGCUGGUGGAGACCCUGAUGGCCAAGGAGUCCACCCAGGGCCACCGGAGCUAUUUGCUGACGUGCUGUAUUGCCCAGAAGCCAUCGUGUCGCUGGUCGGGGUCCUGCGGAGGCUGGCUGCCUGCCGGGAGCACCAGCGGGCUCCUCAAUUCUACAUGGCCCUUACCGUCUGCAACCCAGAGAUGUGCCAGCUGUUCACCACCGAGCUAUGUGAGCCCCCACGCCCACCCGGGCCUGCAUGGUCCCCAAGCUGUCCCUACAGGACUCCAGUGGAAGUGAAAGAACUGGGGGCCGGGGAAAAGCUAGGAUGCCCCACACUCCCACACCAUGCGGGGAACUAGGGCAGAGGCCGGUGAGAAGGGUGGGCUCGGGUCGUGGGGGGAUUGUGGCAGGAGGAGGGCAGCUCAGCACAGGGAGGGAGGAUCUGAGCCCAGCAGCCCUACUGUGUGCUUCAGAGCAGGGUUCCCUAAGCCCUUGGGCCUCGGUUUCCUCAUCUAUAAAAUAGAGGUGGCAGGAGGGGCAGUCGGGGUCAGGUUUGGACACAGCUGUGGCCUGCAGGACGCUGGAGCACAGGCUGUACAGGCGGAUCCACCACGCCACUGUCCUGAGCACCCAGUCAAUGGAAGAUGAGCAGGGUGACUAUAGAGAAGGGGAACUGGCCCCGUAGUGGGCCAGCCACUGUCCUCAGACCUGACAUUUGUCAGCCCCCGCACCUGUGAGAGUGUGAUAUCAUUGUCCCAUCUCACCGACAAAGACACUAGGACACACAGAGGACAAGCAACCCCCGAGCUCCCACAGACUGCUGCCCGGCCACCUGGCUCUUGUGCCUCCACUCUACACCCAAGCCCCCCAUUGCCACCAGCCUUUGCCCCAGCUCCCCCUGAGCACAGCCCCUCCUGGCAGCCAUGUGCACAGAUGUACCCGCAGCAGCCUCUGCCUGCACACAGAGACACGGACAAGCCAGUGCCUGUCCACGUGGGGCAG
This is a long non-coding RNA of Homo sapiens (human), 1295 nucleotides long. The record is from Ensembl. NCBI's taxonomy places the organism in Eukaryota, Metazoa, Chordata, Mammalia, Primates, Hominidae.